This 376-nucleotide ribosomal RNA is filed under the name Prymnesium parvum. RNAcentral's name for it is "partial Bacterial small subunit ribosomal RNA". It matches the Rfam family "Bacterial small subunit ribosomal RNA", at positions 106 to 512 of the family's 1533-position model. The record is from RNAcentral. Lineage: Eukaryota; Haptophyta; Prymnesiales; Prymnesiaceae.
GUGAGUAACACGUGAGAAUCUGCCUUUAGGAGGGGGACAACAACUGGAAACGGUUGCUAAUACCCCAUAUGCUUUCGAGUGAAAUGAAUUUAUUCGCCUAGAGAGGAGCUCGCGCCUGAUUAGCUUGUUGGUGGGGUAAAAGCCUACCAAGGCGACGAUCAGUAUCUGGUUUGAGAGGACGAUCAGACACACUGGAACUGAGACACGGUCCAGACUCCUACGGGAGGCAGCAGUGGGGAAUUUUCUGCAAUGGGCGAAAGCCUGACAGAGCAAUACCGCGUGAGGGAUGACAGUCCUAUGGAUUGUAAACCUCUUUUUUCAGGGAGGAAGUUCUGACGUUACCUGAAGAAUAAGCAUCGGCUAACUCCGUGCCAGC